UGUAUGCCAGCUAUUUAGGGAUAUG
This 25-nucleotide non-coding RNA is filed under the name Rattus norvegicus (Norway rat). Lineage: Eukaryota; Metazoa; Chordata; Mammalia; Rodentia; Muridae. The record is from RNAcentral.